Molecule: long non-coding RNA, 549 nt
Organism: Gordionus sp. m RMFG-2023
Lineage: Eukaryota; Metazoa; Nematomorpha; Gordioida; Chordodea; Parachordodidae
Exons: 3
Source: RefSeq, a predicted model, not a curated record
AUUUAAUUAAAAAUUUAUAUUUUGUAGGUCAAAUGAAAACAACGGAAUAUUUCUUAAUUAAACAAUUAAUUAUACAUCUGAUUCUCAUGGGCUUAGCGGGCCCAGUGAAUGCCCAAAAUAUAUCAGGUAAGAAUCAGGUAUCAUUUGGUAUUGUAUACCAAGUUUUCAAUGCAUCCAAUUCUUCGUUAUUGUUCAAACCAGAAAUUACGAUUUUGAAUGAUAUUUCUGCUACAAAUGGGACUUUGUUUGACAUCUUACUGGCGAACAUCAACUCAAAUAAAAUGGAUUCCAUGGUAAAUAUAACAACAUCAGAUCCAUAUCGUGACUAAAGGGCUCACUACAACUACCAGCACCUUCGACAAUGCAGGUUUACCUACAACCUUUACCUAGACUGCAAACAAAACAAUUAAACUAAACAAAUAAAUUUAUUUAUUACUUCUUAUUUUAAAAAUAAUAUUUAUAUUUCAUCUUUCUAUCUUUGAAAAUAAAAAAUUUUCAAAAGACCAUUAAUACAUUCAAUAUAAAUUCUCCAAAGAUUAUAAAACUAUA